GAUGAACGCUAGCUGCAGGCUUAAUACAUGCAAGUCGAGGGGAAACGGCAUCGUAAGCUUGCUUUUGCUGGGCGUCGACCGGCGCACGGGUGAGUAACGCGUACCCAACCUGCCCAUCACUUGGGAACAACCUUGCGAAAGUAAGACCAAUGCCCAUUGACAUCCCCCGAAUGCAUUCGAAAGGGACUAUAGUUCUAUCGGUGAUGGAUGGGGAUGCGUCUGAUUAGCUUGUUGGUGAGGUGACGGCCUACCAAGGCAACGAUGAGUAGGGGUUCUGAGAGGAAGGUCCCCCACAUUGGAACUGAGACACAGACCACACUCCUACGGAAGGCAGCAGUAAGGAAUAUUGGGCAAUGGAGGAGAGCCUGACCCAGCCAAGUAGCGUGCAGGAGGACGGGGCUAUGGGUUGUAAACUACUUGUAUAGGGGAAUAAAGUGGGUCACGUUUGACUUUUUGAAGGUACCUUAUGAAUAAGCACCGGCUAAUUACGUG
Molecule: ribosomal RNA, 492 nt
Filed under: uncultured bacterium
Lineage: Bacteria
Description: partial 16S ribosomal RNA
Rfam family: Bacterial small subunit ribosomal RNA
Source: RNAcentral